Molecule: long non-coding RNA, 292 nt
Organism: Nothoprocta perdicaria
Lineage: Eukaryota; Metazoa; Chordata; Aves; Tinamiformes; Tinamidae
Exons: 3
Source: RefSeq, a predicted model, not a curated record
CAGCGGGGAGCUCGCCAAGUACCAGGAGCGGGUGGCAGAGCUGGAGCGGGAGAUUGGCGAGGCCGAGCAGGAAAUGGCCCGGUGCCUGCGCGAGUACCCGGCACUGCUGCGGCUCCGCAUGGCCCUGGACGUGGAGAUCGCCGCGUACCGGGAGAUGCUGGAGGGGGAAGAGCUGCGCCUGGGCUCCACAGCCCCGUCAUGACCAGCCUGCCCUGCUCCAUGCGCUGGGGGCCUUGGACACCUGUGUCCCCCCGGACCCUGCACCUGGGGAGCCCUGAACUUGUGCUGGUGC